UUGGAGGGCAAGUCUGGUGCCAGCAGCCGCGGUAACUCCAGCUCCAAUAGCGUAUAUUAAAGUUGCUGCAGUUAAAAAGCUCGUAGUUGAAUUUCGGGACCAUCAUGUCGGUCGUGCCUCGGUACGUACUGGCAUCGUCGGUUUCUCCCUUCUGACGAACCAUGAUGUCAUUUAUUUGGUGUCGUGGGGAAUCAGGACUGUUACUUUGAAAAAAUUAGAGUGUUUAAAGCAGGCUCACGCUUGAAUACAUUAGCAUGGAAUAAUGAAAUAGGACGUUUGAUUCUAUUUUGUUGGUUUCUAGGAUCGACGUAAUGAUUAAUAGGGAUAGUUGGGGGCACUAGUAUUCAAUUGUCAGAGGUGAAAUUCUUGGAUUUAUUGAAGACUAACUACUGCGAAAGCAUUUGCCAAGGACGUUUUCAUUAAUCAAGAACGAAAGUUAGGGGAUCGAAGACGAUCAGAUACCGUCGUAGUCUUAACCAUAAACUAUGCCGACUAGGGAUCGGAUGAUGUUAAUUUUUUAAUGACUCAUUCGGCGCCUUACGGGAAAC
RNAcentral lists this ribosomal RNA (548 nucleotides) under uncultured Glomeromycotina. RNAcentral describes it as "SSU rRNA". It matches the Rfam family "Eukaryotic small subunit ribosomal RNA", at positions 548 to 1098 of the family's 1831-position model. Lineage: Eukaryota; Fungi; Glomeromycota. The record is from RNAcentral.